UCCUGGCUCAGGACGAACGCUGGCGGCGUGCCUAAUACAUGCAAGUCGAACGAAGCUUUCUUUCACCGAAUGCUUGCAUUCACCGAAAGAAGCUUAGUGGCGAACGGGUGAGUAACACGUAGGCAACCUGCCCAAAAGAGGGGGAUAACACUUGGAAACAGGUGCUAAUACCGCAUAACCAUGAACACCGCAUGAUGUUCAUGUAAAAGACGGCUUUUGCUGUCACUUUUGGAUGGGCCUGCGGCGUAUUAACUUGUUGGUGGGGUAACGGCCUACCAAGGUGAUGAUACGUAGCCGAACUGAGAGGUUGAUCGGCCACAUUGGGACUGAGACACGGCCCAAACUCCUACGGGAGGCAGCAGUAGGGAAUCUUCCACAAUGGACGAAAGUCUGAUGGAGCAACGCCGCGUGAAUGAAGAAGGCCUUCGGGUCGUAAAAUUCUGUUGUCAGAGAAGAACGUGCGUGAGAGUAACUGUUCACGUAUUGACGGUAUCUGACCAGAAAGCCACGGCUAACUACGUGCCAGCAGCCGCGGUAAUACGUAGGUGGCAAGCGUUGUCCGGAUUUAUUGGGCGUAAAGGGAGCGCAGGCGGUCUUUUAAGUCUGAUGUGAAAGCCUUCGGCUUAACCGAAGUAGUGCAUUGGAAACUGGAAGACUUGAGUGCAGAAGAGGAGAGUGGAACUCCAUGUGUAGCGGUGAAAUGCGUAGAUAUAUGGAAGAACACCAGUGGCGAAAGCGGCUCUCUGGUCUGUAACUGACGCUGAGGUUCGAAAGCGUGGGUAGCAAACAGGAUUAGAUACCCUGGUAGUCCACGCCGUAAACGAUGAGUGCUAAGUGUUGGAGGGUUUCCGCCCUUCAGUGCUGCAGCUAACGCAUUAA
RNAcentral lists this ribosomal RNA (879 nucleotides) under uncultured bacterium. Its description in RNAcentral is "bacterial SSU rRNA". It matches the Rfam family "Bacterial small subunit ribosomal RNA", at positions 17 to 863 of the family's 1533-position model. The record is from RNAcentral.